UGCAGUCGUGCGGUAACAGACAUAAAGAUUUAGCUUGCUAAAUCCGGUGCUGACGAGCGGCGAACGGGUGAGUAACACGUAGGAAUCUACCCAGUAGCGGGGGAUAGCCCAGGGAAACUUGGAUUAAUACCGCAUACGCCCUAAGGGGAAAAGAAGGCCUCUCUUUGAAGCUUUCACUAUUGGAUGAGCCUGCGUAAGAUUAGCUUGUUGGUGGGGUAAAGGCCUACCAAGGCAACGAUCUUUAGCUGGUCUGAGAGGACGAUCAGCCACAUUGGGACUGAGACACGGCCCAGACUUCUACGGAAGGCAGCAGUUAGGAAUAUUGGACAAUGGGGGCAACCCUGAUCCAGCUAUACCGCGUGUGUGAAGAAGGCCCUAGGGUUGUAAAGCACUUUAAGCAGGGAAGAAGUAUAUUAAGUUAAUACCUUAAUAUAUUGACGUUACCUGAAGAAUAAGGACCGGCUAACUCCGUGCCAGCAGCCGCGGUAAUACGGAGGGUCCAAGCGUUAAUCGGAAUUACUGGGCGUAAAGCGCGCGUAGGCGGUUUAAUAAGUUGUAUGUGAAAGCCCUGGGCUCAACCUAGGAACUGCAUACAAAACUAUUAAGCUUGAGGACGAGAGAGGAGAGUAGAAUUUCAGGUGUAGCGGUGAAAUGCGUAGAUAUCUGAAGGAAUACCAAUGGCGAAGGCAGCUCUCUGGCUCGUUUCUGACGCUGAGGUGCGAAAGCGUGGGUAGCAAACAGGAUUAGAUACCCUGGUAGUCCACGCCGUAAACGAUGAUAACUAGCCGUUGGGCAGAUUUAACUGUUCAGUGGCACAGCUAACGCAUUAAGUUAUCCGCCUGGGGAGUACGGCCGCAAGGCUAAAACUCAAAUGAAUUGACGGGGGCCCGCACAAGUGGUGGAGCAUGUGGUUUAAUUCGAUGCAACGCGAAGAACCUUACCAACCUUUGAAAUCCAGAGAAGUCACCAGAGAUGGAGAUGUGCCUUCGGGAACUCUGUGACAGGUGUUGCAUGGCUGUCG
Molecule: ribosomal RNA, 1021 nt
Filed under: uncultured bacterium
Lineage: Bacteria
Description: bacterial SSU rRNA
Rfam family: Bacterial small subunit ribosomal RNA
Source: RNAcentral